UUUGGUGCUGCUGAGAUUAUUCCACUGAUGGGGAUGGUCCAUGGCUGUUAUGUGACCAUCUGCACUACAUGACCAUCAUGAAUCAAUAUAGGUGUAGCCAUCUCACUGGAAUGGCAUGUACUGGAAGCUUUAUCCAGGCACAGUUUAGAUCCUCUCCCCAGUCUGACUUCCUUUCUAUGAUCCCAAUGUCAUAGCUCAUUCAUGUGUGACUUAAACACUUUGUUGAAACUCCUCUGCAUGGGUACUACUAAUACACUUGGUUUCUUUGUUGCUGCCAAUGGUGGGUUCAACUACCUAUUAAACAUCAUUUUCUUGAUGGUUUCUUAAGUGGCCAUCCUAUGUACUUUGAAAACUCACAGCUUGGAGGAAAGAUGCUAAAGCCCUCUCUACCUGCAUCUCUCACACCACCGUGGUCAUCUUAUCUUUGGGUUCUGUAUAUCUGUGUAUCUGUGCCCAGUGACCC
This 463-nucleotide long non-coding RNA is filed under the name Homo sapiens (human). RNAcentral describes it as "non-protein coding lnc-OR4C5-1:1". Lineage: Eukaryota; Metazoa; Chordata; Mammalia; Primates; Hominidae. The record is from RNAcentral.